CUGUGAACGUUUUUGUUUUUCUCAUUUCCUGUUCAACAAAUAUGUUUUACCAGAAUCGGCCAAUGAGUCCCAUCUGGUUCAGGAGUCCUCUUCCUGGAAGCUUCCCUCACUGUUCCGCCACAUUGCUAGCAUUCAGCUGACUGGGCAUUUAUUGGCUUUGUCGCAGGGUUUCACAUAUGUGGCUCCGUCCGUGCUGGAAAACGUCAAGGACAAAUUCUCGUCGGAGCCAAAGGUCCCGGGAAGCCCGAGGACUCCUGUGAGCCCGGUGAUGUUCGCACGGGGCGACUGUUGGCCGCAGGGAGCCUCUGCGGAACAACCCAAGGAGACGGUCGGCAAUGGAGCAAACGGACUCGAGCAACAGCAGCAGCGCCGUGUCGGAAGCCUCGGCACCGAUUCCCAUCAGAUGGCCGUCGAGCGGCGGCGAGCAGCUCUACAAAAAAAAAGCCGAUCCUCUGAACGCCAAACGACCGGAACACCUGCGGAUGAACCGAUUACGCUCGGCGCAGCCCCUUCCCCGCUCUCAGAAAUAAUGUGCUGUCACUGUUGAUGUCAUCAACAGCGCUUCCAUCUCUUGGCCUUGCUCCAGAAUCUUGCUUUUGGUGCGAGUCACCAAUGUCCUUAUUUACCGUCGGUUUGGUUUCAUGGUGCAUUGGGGAGUGAGUUUUGAGCUCCCUUUCACAAACACGAUUUUUUUACUUUCGCUGGAGGUUUUUAAAAGGGCCUCAUACUGUGUGUGUUUGUAUGUUAAGGAUUUUUGUUUUUUGGGUGAAACUUUGUUCUACGUUUCAGUUUUUUGGUGAGUAAGAGGUUCUUGUUAGUGUCAGGGUUUUUUUCGUUCACUGAGCAGUUUUUGGGUGAGUGUGAGAGGUGUUUUGGGGUUCGUGUGAGUUUUUGGAGCGAGUAUGAAUGUUUUUGGUGAGUAUGAGUGGUAAAUGUUAUUUUUGGUCGACACGGCACUUGAUGUUAAAGCCUUUGCAUUUCUACAUUGACUGUUACCAAGAUCAUGAAUACUCGGUUGAGUGUGAACCAUGAUGCUGCGGGGGAAAAAGCCUCUGGAUUGAAGCCAUUGGAUGCCUUUUUUUUUUAUUAUUUUGACUCUUUUAUGAUUGUUUUUUUUUUUUGAAUGGCUUAAAUAAUUGCCAACCAAAUGCUUUGAACUUUUCUCUCGCAUUCAAAAGAUGGAUCAGUGUUCAAUUGAUUUUCUUCCAUCCGCGGUAAAGCUAUAACAGUGAAUUUUUUUUCCGUCUUCAUUUAAGGGCCAUUGGCUCACUAUGCAAACUGCGUAACUAUUUAUUGUUUCGUCUUAUUUCAACAGCGUGACAGCAUUUUGGAAGAAAAGGUUAUUUGAUAUUCUUUCUCAUUGUGUUUUUUUCCUCACACAAACACUGUUAAAAUGGCAACCACAAAAGCAGCUUUCAAUUAAACACAUUUUCCAGCAUGUAACGAUUUUUGUGCAGCAAUGUCUUUUUUU
Hippocampus comes (tiger tail seahorse) is the source of this 1471-nucleotide long non-coding RNA. RefSeq lists it as uncharacterized. The transcript is spliced from 2 exons. The record is from RefSeq and is a predicted model, not a curated record. Lineage: Eukaryota; Metazoa; Chordata; Actinopteri; Syngnathiformes; Syngnathidae.